RNAcentral lists this ribosomal RNA (837 nucleotides) under uncultured archaeon. RNAcentral describes it as "bacterial SSU rRNA". It matches the Rfam family "Archaeal small subunit ribosomal RNA", at positions 85 to 922 of the family's 1478-position model. The record is from RNAcentral.
ACGGCUCAGUAACACGUAGUCAACCUAACCUAUGGACGAGAAUAACCUCGGGAAACUGAGAAUAAUGCUCGAUAGAACACUAUAUCUGGAAUGGUUUGUGUUCCAAAUGAUUUAUCGCCGUAGGAUGGGACUGCGGCCUAUCAGUUUGUUGGUGAGGUAAUGGCCCACCAAGACUAUUACAGGUACGGGCUCUGAGAGGAGUAGCCCGGAGAUGGGUACUGAGACACGGACCCAGGCCCUAUGGGGCGCAGCAGGCGAGAAAACUUUGCAAUGUGCGAAAGCACGACAAGGUUAAUCCGAGUGAUUUGUGUUAAACGAAUCUUUUGUUAGUCCUAGAAACACUAACGAAUAAGGGGUGGGCAAGUUCUGGUGUCAGCCGCCGCGGUAAAACCAGCACCUCAAGUGGUCAGGAUGAUUAUUGGGCCUAAAGCAUCCGUGGCCGGCUCUGUAAGUUUUCGGUUAAAUCUGUACGCUUAACGUACAGGCUGCCGGGAAUACUGCAGAGCUAGGGAGUGGGAGAGGUAGACGGUACUCGGUAGGAAGGGGUAAAAUCCUUUGAUCUAUUGAUGACCACCUGUGGCGAAGGCGGUCUACCAGAACACGUCCGACGGUGAGGGAUGAAAGCUGGGGGAGCAAACCGGAUUAGAUACCCGGGUAGUCCCAGCUGUAAACUAUGCAAACUCAGUGAUGCAUUGACUUGUGGUCAAUGCAGUGCUGCAGGGAAGCCGUUAAGUUUGCCGCCUGGGAAGUACGUACGCAAGUAUGAAACUUAAAGGAAUUGGGCGGGGGAGCACCACCAGGCGUGAAGCCUGCGGUUUAAUUGGAUUCAACGCCGGA